AGGGCGUAUGGGGAAUGCCUAGGCACACUCCGGCGAAGAAGGACGCAGCAAACAGCGAAAUGCGACGGUGAGCGGUAAGCACGUGAAGAGCCGUCGAUAUCCGAAUGGGGGAACCCACACGGAGUCAUAUCCGUGUAUCACAUGUCGAAUACAUAGACAUGAUGAGGCGAGACGCAGGGAACUGAAACAUCUAAGUACCUGCAGGAAGAGAAAAUAAGAAUGAUUUUCUGAGUAGCGGCGAGCGAAAGGGAAAGAGCCCAAACCGAUUUGAGGAUCGGGGUAGUAGGAUCAUCGAUAAAUCAAACAGAGGAUCAUAGAGGAAUCACAUGGGAAGGUGAGCGAGAGAGGGUGAGAGCCCCGUACUCGAAAUGAGAGACUGGAGAGAGAUGACACCUGAGUAGGGCGGGACACGAGAAAUCCUGUCUGAAUCAGCCGGGACCAUCCGGCAAGGCUAAAUACGAGAGAGUGACCGAUAGUGAACCAGUACCGUGAGGGAAAGGUGAAAAGAACCCCGGGAGGGGAGUGAAAGAGAACCUGAAACCAUAUGCCUACAAGAAGUCAGAGCCCGUUAAAGGGUGAUGGCGUGCCUUUUGUAGAAUGAACCGGCGAGUUACUGUAUGGAGCGAGGUUAAGCAGGAUAUGCGGAGCCGAAGCGAAAGCGAGUCUUAAGAGGGCGCGAGUUGCAUGCAGUAGACCCGAAACCGGGUGAUCUAGCCAUGACCAGGUUGAAGUUGGGGUAAAACCCGAUGGAGGACCGAACCGACCCCCGUUGAAACGUUGGCGGAUGAGUUGUGGCUAGGGGUGAAAUUCCAAUCGAACCCGGAGAUAGCUGGUUCUCCCCGAAAUAGCUUUAGGGCUAGCGUCGAGAGAAGAGUUGCGUGAAGGUAGAGCACUGAAUAUGUGAUGGCCCCAUCUCGGGGUACUGAGCAUAAUCAAACUGCGAAUGUCACGCCAACAUGCUCGGCAGUCAGACAGCGGGUGAUAAGGUCCGUUGUCAAGAGGGAAACAGCCCAGACCAUCAGCUAAGGUCCCAAAAUGUAUGCUAAGUGGAAAAGGAUGUGGAGAUGUACAGACAACUAGGAGGUUGGCUCAGAAGCAGCCAUCCUUUAAAGAGUGCGUAACAGCUCACUAGUCGAAUGACUCUGCGCCGAUAAUUUACCGGGGCUAAGCAUACUACCGAAGCUAUGGAUCCCAAGGGAUGGUAGGGGAGCGUUCCAUGAACGGAGAAGUACGACCGAAAGGACGUGUGGAGAUCAUGGAAGAGAGAAUGCCGGUGUGAGUAGCGGAACGUGGGUGAGAAUCCCACGCACCGAAAACCCAAGGUUUCCAGAGGAAGGUUCGUCCGCUCUGGGUAAGUCGGGACCUAAGGCGAGGCCGAAAGGCGUAGUCGAUGGACAACAGGUAGAGAUUCCUGUACCCGUAUAUAUGUGAAGGAAUGACGGAGAGAGGAAGCUGCAGCCAGCGGCUGGAAGAGCUGGUGCAAGCGAGAUAUCGGGAUGGCAGGCAAAUCCACCAUCCGAAACGAGAAGGCGUGAAGCGUACGGAAAGCUACGGCGAGUACGGAAGGCAGUGGAGGAACUUCCAAGAAAAGUUUCUAACGUUAAGUAUAUAUGGCCCGUACCGAAAAUGGACACACAUGGGUGAGGAGAGAAUCCUAAGGUGAGCGAGAGAACUAUAGCUAAGGAACUCUGCAAAAUGACCCCGUAACUUAGGGAGAAGGAGUGCUCAUAGAGAUAUGAGCCGCAGUGAAACGGCCCAAGCGACUGUUUACCAAAAACACAGCUCUCUGCUAAGCCGCAAGGCGAAGUAUAGGGGGUGACGCCUGCCCGGUGCUGGAAGGUUAAGGGGAGGGGUUAACGCAAGUGAAGCCCUGAACUGAAGCCCCAGUAAACGGCGGCCGUAACUAUAACGGUCCUAAGGUAGCGAAAUUCCUUGUCAGGUAAGUUCUGACCCGCACGAAAGGCGUAACGAUUUGGGCGCUGUCUCAGCUGUAGACUCGGUGAAGUCUUAGUACCUGUGAAGAUGCAGGUUACCCGCGACUAGACGGAAAGACCCCAUGGAGCUUCACUGCAGGUUGAUAUUGGGAUUUGAUGCAGCAUGUACAGGAUAGGUAGGAGGCAAAGAGAUGGAUACGCCAGUAUUCAAGGAGCCGCUGUUGGGAUACUACCCCUGUUGUAUUGGAUUUCUAACCGGACGACGUAGAGCCGUUGACGGGACAGUGUCAGUCGGGCAGUUUGACUGGGGCGGUCGCCUCCCAAAGAGUAACGGAGGCGCCCAAAGAUACCCUCAGCUUGGAUGGAAACCAAGCGCAGAGUGCAAAGGCAAAAGGGUGUUUGACUGCGAGACCUACAAGUCGAGCAGGGACGAAAGUCGGGCUUAGUGAUCCGG
This 2388-nucleotide ribosomal RNA is filed under the name wastewater metagenome. Its description in RNAcentral is "bacterial LSU rRNA". It matches the Rfam family "Bacterial large subunit ribosomal RNA", at positions 14 to 2423 of the family's 2925-position model. The record is from RNAcentral.